This 1545-nucleotide ribosomal RNA is filed under the name Escherichia coli. Its description in RNAcentral is "bacterial SSU rRNA". It matches the Rfam family "Bacterial small subunit ribosomal RNA". The record is from RNAcentral. Lineage: Bacteria; Pseudomonadati; Pseudomonadota; Gammaproteobacteria; Enterobacterales; Enterobacteriaceae.
AAAUUGAAGAGUUUGAUCAUGGCUCAGAUUGAACGCUGGCGGCAGGCCUAACACAUGCAAGUCGAACGGUAACAGAAAGCAGCUUGCUGCUUUGCUGACGAGUGGCGGACGGGUGAGUAAUGUCUGGGAAACUGCCUGAUGGAGGGGGAUAACUACUGGAAACGGUAGCUAAUACCGCAUAACGUCGCAAGACCAAAGAGGGGGACCUUCGGGCCUCUUGCCAUCGGAUGUGCCCAGAUGGGAUUAGCUUGUUGGUGGGGUAACGGCUCACCAAGGCGACGAUCCCUAGCUGGUCUGAGAGGAUGACCAGCCACACUGGAACUGAGACACGGUCCAGACUCCUACGGGAGGCAGCAGUGGGGAAUAUUGCACAAUGGGCGCAAGCCUGAUGCAGCCAUGCCGCGUGUAUGAAGAAGGCCUUCGGGUUGUAAAGUACUUUCAGCGGGGAGGAAGGGAGUAAAGUUAAUACCUUUGCUCAUUGACGUUACCCGCAGAAGAAGCACCGGCUAACUCCGUGCCAGCAGCCGCGGUAAUACGGAGGGUGCAAGCGUUAAUCGGAAUUACUGGGCGUAAAGCGCACGCAGGCGGUUUGUUAAGUCAGAUGUGAAAUCCCCGGGCUCAACCUGGGAACUGCAUCUGAUACUGGCAAGCUUGAGUCUCGUAGAGGGGGGAAUUCCGUGUAGCGGUGAAAUGCGUAGAGAUCUGGAGGAAUACCGGUGGCGAAGGCGGCCCCCUGGACGAAGACUGACGCUCAGGUGCGAAAGCGUGGGGAGCAAACAGGAUUAGAUACCCUGGUAGUCCACGCCGUAAACGAUGUCGACUUGGAGGUUGUGCCCUUGAGGCGUGGCUUCCGGAGCUAACGCGUUAAGUCGACCGCCUGGGGAGUACGGCCGCAAGGUUAAAACUCAAAUGAAUUGACGGGGGCCCGCACAAGCGGUGGAGCAUGUGGUUUAAUUCGAUGCAACGCGAAGAACCUUACCUGGUCUUGACAUCCACAGAACUUUCCAGAGAUGGAUUGGUGCCUUCGGGAACUGUGAGACAGGUGCUGCAUGGCUGUCGUCAGCUCGUGUUGUGAAAUGUUGGGUUAAGUCCCGCAACGAGCGCAACCCUUAUCCUUUGUUGCCAGCGGUCCGGCCGGGAACUCAAAGGAGACUGCCAGUGAUAAACUGGAGGAAGGUGGGGAUGACGUCAAGUCAUCAUGGCCCUUACGACCAGGGCUACACACGUGCUACAAUGGCGCAUACAAAGAGAAGCGACCUCGCGAGAGCAAGCGGACCUCAUAAAGUGCGUCGUAGUCCGGAUUGAGUCUGCAACUCGACUCCAUGAAGUCGGAAUCGCUAGUAAUCGUGGAUCAGAAUGCCACGGUGAAUACGUUCCCGGCCUUGUACACACCGCCCGUCACACCAUGGGAGUGGGUUGCAAAAGAAGUAGGUAGCUUAACCUUCGGGAGGGCGCUUACCACUUUGUGAUUCAUGACUGGGGUGAAGUCGUAACAAGGUAACCGUAGGGGAACCUGCGGUUGGAUCACCUCCUUACCUUAAAGAA